RNAcentral lists this ribosomal RNA (267 nucleotides) under Enterococcus faecium. Its description in RNAcentral is "partial 16S ribosomal RNA". It matches the Rfam family "Bacterial small subunit ribosomal RNA", at positions 1229 to 1495 of the family's 1533-position model. The record is from RNAcentral. Lineage: Bacteria; Bacillati; Bacillota; Bacilli; Lactobacillales; Enterococcaceae.
AAUGGGAAGUACAACGAGUCGCGAAGUCGCGAGGCUAAGCUAAUCUCUUAAAGCUUCUCUCAGUUCGGAUUGCAGGCUGCAACUCGCCUGCAUGAAGCCGGAAUCGCUAGUAAUCGCGGAUCAGCACGCCGCGGUGAAUACGUUCCCGGGCCUUGUACACACCGCCCGUCACACCACGAGAGUUUGUAACACCCGAAGUCGGUGAGGUAACCUUUUGGAGCCAGCCGCCUAAGGUGGGAUAGAUGAUUGGGGUGAAGUCGUAACAAG